UUUCCCUCUCCCACACACGCUACUCUCUCUUUAUUGCCACGCCCGCGCACGCUGCUUCUGCCGCUGCACCUCGGAUGGGACACAUGCCUCGACCCCCCGCCGCUACGAGUUCCGAGGAGGAGAUCAAGAAGGAGGUGGCGGCCGUGGACGUCGUCGUCGCCGCACCGGACGACGAUGUGGCCGCCGAUCGGGAGGAGGAGGAGGAACAGAAGAAGAGGAAGCGGAGGAAGGAGAAGAAGAAGAGGAGGAGGAGGGCGCCGAGCGAGGAGGAGGAGGCCGCGCUGAGGUCCGUGCUCCGCUGGGCGCGCCGCGGCGAAGCGGGCGAUGAGGAGGCGGACGGGCAGCGCCCCGCUGCGACCGGGAGGCGGCGGCCGCGCGUCGCGGUUGAGCUGCACGCGCACUCGACGUGCAGCGACGGCUCGCUCUCACCCGCGGCGCUCGUCCAGCGCGCGCACCGCAAUGGGGUGAAAGUACUCGCGCUAACUGACCACGACACCAUGGCCGGCGUCCCCGAGGCCAUCGAAUCUGCGAAGCAGUGCUCCAUCAGGAUCAUACCCGGUGUCGAGAUAAGCGCCAUGUACUCACCAAGUGAUGGAAUAGGAGCCGAGGAACCCGUCCAUAUUCUCGCGUACUACGGUAGUCUGGGCCCUGCAAAACCACAAGAACUCGAUAGGUUUCUCGGUAGCAUCAGGGAUGGCCGCUAUACCCGUGCGAAGGGGAUGCUGCUGAAGCUUCGGAGCCUCGACAUGCCCAUGGAGCUCGAAGACGUGUGCACCAUUGCAGGGGAUGGAGUGGCUCCAGGCCGGUUGCACGUGGCUCGCGCCAUGGUAGAAGCUGGAUACGUUGAGAACAUUAGGCAAGCUUUUAGCAGGUACUUGUAUGACGGUGGACCUGCUUAUGCCACUGGCAAUGAACCAGCAGGGGAGUCUGUGGUGCAAUUAGUUUGUAGAAAUGGGGGUGUGGCAGUUUUAGCUCAUCCAUGGGCACUGAAAAAUCCUGUGGCUGUGAUAAAGGAUUUGAAGGCUGCUGGCUUGCAUGGCAUUGAGGUUUACAGAAGCGAUGGCAAGCUAUCAGGAUUAAGUGAUCUGGCAGAUACAUAUGGUCUUCUGAAGAUUGGUGGUUCAGACUACCAUGGACGAGACGACAAGGAUGAACCUGACGUAGGAAGUGUUGAUCUUCCGGUCUUGGCUGUUUCUGGAUUUCUUGAUGCAGCUCAACCAAUCUGGCACAAUGCUACCAAGGAAAUUCUGGCAAAUAUUACUGAAAGGGCACCUAAUGGCUCAAAGGGACUCCAAAGGACUAACUCUGCAAAAGAUUUAUGUAACUUGCGUCUUCUUUCUUCAGACCUGGAGGUAACAGAUUCUACGGAGGUUGAGGUCCUCCAAACAGAACUUUCAGAUGUUGUCCUCAGUAACUGAGGACCAUAAGACACAUAUUGAACAAUGAGCAGAAAUCACCAUCCCUCUAGACCCUCUCCAGUCACAUUGGCUGGUCUGGAGCAGUUCAAUCUAAACUGCAAUUCAAUCUGCUCAUAUUCUUGGAGAGAAUACAAAUUGUUGCAUGUGACGCCGUUUUAUAUUAUUGGCUGGCUGGAUUGGAAAAGUUUCAAACGGACAUAAUUCUAGAGAAGAUGGGUCGUGAUUGCUGGAAAUAUUCCAGAGAGAUUGAAGGAUCCCAUCGCAAUUCACAAUUCACGGGUACGGUUGAAACACUUGAAACGUUUCUUUCUUGAGCUGUAGAUGGACUUCAAGAACAGGUUCCCGGAGUGAUUUGAUCGAUGCUGGCAAAUUAACAAAUGUGUGAUUCUUUAAGAGUAAGAGAGAUUUCAAAUAGCCAUUUGUAAACUUUGUUUCUUCUCCGAGAAGAAUUCUUUGUUAGUUUUUGAAAACUUCGCGAGAAUAAAUCUUGCAAGCAAGGAAGUAGACUUCUUGCAAAACCAGCAUCAUUCAUCUUAGCGUAAUGAACUUUACAAGAUCCGAAGCUUGUAAAGUGGAGAUGAUGUUCUCCCUUUUCUGUGCCAUAUUCACAUAUAAUUUGACGCUGUAGAGAUUUGUGCUCCUUUUAUUUCUUGGAACAGAUGCUCCUUUCAGACAUGCAAAUCUCAAAACAAGUACACGUGAUUCAUCCGCUAAGGUUUUCAAUUCCAGGACAUUGCUUUUAAUGGAUGUUAAUGCAUUUUUCUUUUGUGGGGGACGUGUUUGCAGUUCAUUUUUUAAAACUACAAAAAUAAAAAGACGCUAUCUGCAGACUGAUGGAAACCAUGUGCGCCAUCUGUGGUUUGCAGCUGAAAAGAUGAUACGGUACCAAUCUCACCAGCCUCUUUGGAAACACAUUGGCAAACGCACCCUAAUGAUGGAUCUAACUGCCAUCAUGUUGCUAACUGCUCAUGGACUGCAGCUUUAACAAAUCGCAGAGUCAAGGAACUGAAAGCACAACUGUAGUUGCCAUCGUUACGAAUAGCUCCUUUAUUUUACGAAAUGUGGAUAAUUUGUUAUAUAUUUGUCUAAAACAUACUCCCUCCUUAAAAAACUUCUUGUGACGAUGUUAACAUAAGCCUAUAACUAGAUACAUAACUAGAAGUUAAUUUUUACGCACCGAGAAAGUAUUAUUAUUGUUGAAAAUAUAGUCAUAUAUCGUCAUAUUUUAAUCCAAAAUAUUAAGACAAUAAUCAUGACAUGAACAAUGUGGGGUGAUCUAGUGAUAAAAUAAAACAUAAAUAGGAGCAUGCUUAAGAUAGAAUAAGCAUCAUCAUCAUACAUAGAACGCAAUAGCAUUGUGACUAACAGAAAUAUCAAAAACCGAAAUAACAAUAGCAUUGUGACUAACAGAAAUAUCAAAAACCGAAAUAACAGUAGAGGGUUAUACCCUGUGAAAGUCUCUCCAAUGGAUUGUGAGGCAGAACUACCUCCAUUGGUGUUAUCGAUCGGUGCACCAGCUCCCGGGCAGACAUGGGUGAUGCAGACGAACAAUCGAAAACGAACAGAGGACGAGGAGCAGUCGUGCAGAAGCACUCCCCAAAAACCCGCCUACCCGGUACAGAUCUCAGGCGAAGGUGUAGUUCCGGAGGCCCUGCUCGUUCCGAUCUCUUGUGCGCGCAAGCGAUCAGAACCGGUGAAGCAGUAGCAGCACAGGCAGCGGCGCGAGGAGGAGGAAGAACCAGUGUUUGGAAAGUAACCAACCUCGGCCCGGCCGGCCAGCUCGGCUCGGCGCGCGCGCGUGGCUUUCUGAUCCCCACCUCAACCGGUAAACAGGGAGCCUCCAAUAACUCCCUAUUUAAGUUGAGAUACUCCUCUUUUAAUUCCCAGGGUGGUAUUAUUAUCCUUAACAUUUAUUAUGGCCCCUUGAGAUUUAAUAGAAAAAUCGGGCCUAGCCCAUUUAUUCUAACAAUUAUUCACUAAAUUAUAGCUAUGGACAAUCUAUUUGGAUAUUGAGAUAAAUUAAACAUUUUGAGAAACAAACUUAAUAGAUAGUUUGAAUGAUGUGGCCAGAAAAGAGAUGUAUAGACAGUCCCAAAGACGGAAUUGCUUGAGAAACCGUUCUUUUGAUAGCAUGGAGCAAAUAAUCGGUGAAUAGGCCGAAAAUAACAUGUAGUCAGAGCGGUGGCUUUGCUGCACAUUGUAUAAAGAGGGUCUGCUCGAAAUUAAGUUCACACACGCAAAGUAAGUCUGAUGAAGAUUAAAUUCACACAUACAAAAGUGAGAAAACUAUUAGCGCGUGGUUAAUAAAAUUUUAAUUAUUAUAAAAUUGAACAUGGAUUUAUUUGAUAUUUCAGAGUCAAUUAUAUAUAUGAAGUUAUAAAACAUACUCCCUCCGGGCUAAUAAUACUUAUCGUUUUAGAUAAGG
Molecule: RNA transcript, 3843 nt
Organism: Oryza sativa Japonica Group (Japanese rice)
Lineage: Eukaryota; Viridiplantae; Streptophyta; Magnoliopsida; Poales; Poaceae
Source: RefSeq, a predicted model, not a curated record